This 21-nucleotide non-coding RNA is filed under the name Arabidopsis thaliana (thale cress). RNAcentral also lists the same sequence under 1 other name. Lineage: Eukaryota; Viridiplantae; Streptophyta; Magnoliopsida; Brassicales; Brassicaceae. The record is from RNAcentral.
CACCUGCCGAAUCAACUAGCC